UACGUAGGUGGCAAGCGUUGUCCGGAUUUACUGGGCGUAAAGGGCGUGCAGGCGGUCUGUUAAGUGCAGGGUGAAAGCUCCCGGCUCAACUGGGAGAGGUCCUUGCAUACUGGCGGACUUGAGGGGGGUAGAGGAAAGUGGAAUUCCCGGUGUAGUGGUGAUAUGCGUAGAUAUCGGGAGGAACACCUGUGGCGAGGGCGGCUUUCUGGGCCCUACCUGACGCUGAGACGCGAAAGCGUGGAGAGCGAACCGG
RNAcentral lists this ribosomal RNA (253 nucleotides) under uncultured bacterium. RNAcentral describes it as "partial 16S ribosomal RNA". It matches the Rfam family "Bacterial small subunit ribosomal RNA", at positions 524 to 776 of the family's 1533-position model. The record is from RNAcentral.